Molecule: long non-coding RNA, 533 nt
Organism: Pelobates fuscus (common spadefoot toad)
Lineage: Eukaryota; Metazoa; Chordata; Amphibia; Anura; Pelobatidae
Exons: 3
Source: RefSeq, a predicted model, not a curated record
CUGACCACUCUGCAGUGAGCAAUAUGUGCCUCUAGAGGGAGCAUUGAAGUUUUUUUUUUUUUUUUUUUUCCUAGCGAAGUGACACGCACCAGGCUCCAGCUUCCCCACUAGCUAAAGGGCAGCGAGCAGCCAGGACUGGCAACAGGGAGCAGAGGCUUCUAGCCCAAACCUCACUCACAGAGCCAGCAGGAGUGCAAAGCAGCAGGCUUAUCCAAGGGCUGAGAUCCAAGGCAGCUCAGCAGAGGAAGCAGCCAGAGAGAGCUGAGCAGGGAUCCCUGGUGACAGCUGACAGGGGAGGAGGAAAGAGGGGCUUGUUGAUCAGUGGACCUGCCUGGGACAUACAGGACCUGGUUUCCAACAUCAGGGCUGCUGCAGCUUUCCUUAUACAGAAGAUCCAGGCAGUGCUGAACAAGUCAUGUAAAUGACAGCAAGAAGUAUCUGUAACACGUCUGUUCACUACCCAUGUACUUUUAUUUCAAAAAUGUACGCUCAGUCUCUCGUGGGAUUUUUAGGAUCGAAUAACUAAAAGGUAA